AGCAGUAGCCACGGUAAUACGGAGGGGGCUAGCGUUAUUCGGAAUUACUGGGCGUGAAGUGCACGUAGGCGGCUUCGCAAGUCAGAGGUGAAAGCCUGGGGCUCAACUCCAGAAUUGCCUUUGAGACUGCGUCGCUCGAAUCCGGGAGAGGUGAGUGGAAUUCCGAGUGUAGAGGUGAAAUUCGUAGAUAUUCGGAAGAACACCAGUGGCGAAGGCGGCUCACUGGACCGGUAUUGACGCUGAGGUGCGAAAGCGUGGGGAGCAAACAGGAUUAGAUACCCCAGUAGUCCCUGUCUCUUAUAC
This 303-nucleotide ribosomal RNA is filed under the name uncultured bacterium. RNAcentral describes it as "partial 16S ribosomal RNA". It matches the Rfam family "Bacterial small subunit ribosomal RNA", at positions 507 to 807 of the family's 1533-position model. The record is from RNAcentral.